AUUGAACGCUGGCGGCAUGCCUUACACAUGCAAGUCGAACGGUAACGGGCCUUCGGGUGCCGACGAGUGGCGAACGGGUGAGUAAUGCAUCGGAACGUACCUUUCAGUGGGGGAUAACGUAGCGAAAGUUACGCUAAUACCGCAUAUUCUGUGAGCAGGAAAGCAGGGGAUCGCAAGACCUUGCGCUGAUUGAGCGGCCGAUGUCAGAUUAGCUAGUUGGUGAGGUAAAGGCUCACCAAGGCGACGAUCUGUAGCGGGUCUGAGAGGAUGAUCCGCCACACUGGAACUGAGACACGGUCCAGACUCCUACGGGAGGCAGCAGUGGGGAAUUUUGGACAAUGGGCGCAAGCCUGAUCCAGCCAUGCCGCGUGAGUGAAGAAGGCC
RNAcentral lists this ribosomal RNA (384 nucleotides) under uncultured bacterium. RNAcentral describes it as "bacterial SSU rRNA". It matches the Rfam family "Bacterial small subunit ribosomal RNA", at positions 30 to 416 of the family's 1533-position model. The record is from RNAcentral.